GAGGGGCCCCUCUCGGGUUACCGAAUUCAGACAAACUCCGAAUGCCAAUCAAUUUAACUUGGGAGUCAGAACGUGGGUGAUAAGGUCCAUGUUCGAAAGGGAAACAGCCCAGACCACCAGCUAAGGUCCCAAAAUAUAUGUUAAGUGGCAAAGGAUGUGGUAUUGCCCAGACAACUAGGAUGUUGGCUUAGAAGCAGCCAUCAUUUAAAGAGUGCGUAAUAGCUCACUAGUCGAGUGACACUGCGCCGAAAAUGUACCGGGGCUAAACAUAUUACCGAAGCUGUGGAUUGUCCGUAGGACAAUGGUAGGAGAGCGUUCUAAGUGCGUCGAAGCAUGAUCGCAAGGACAUGUGGAGCGCUUAGAAGUGAGAAUGCCGGUGUGAGUAGCGAAAGAUGGGUGAGAAUCCCAUCCACCGAUUGACUAAGGUUUCCAGAGGAAGGCUCGUCCGCUCUGGGUUAGUCGGGUCCUAAGUCGAGGCCGACAGGCGUAGACGAUGGAUAACAGGUUGAUAUUCCUGUACCACCAUUUAUCGUUUUAAGCGAUGGGGGGACACAGUAGGAUAGGCGAAGCGUGCUGUUGGAGUGCACGUCUAAGCAGUGAGACUGAAUGGUAGGCAAAUCCGCCAUUCUCAAGGUUGAGCUGUGAUGGGGAGAGGAAACAUGUUUUCCUCGAGUCGUUGAUUUCACACUGUCGAGAAAAGCCUCUAGCUAGAUAACUGGUGCCCGUACCGCAAACCGACACAGGUAGUCAAGAUGAGAAUUCUAAGGUGAGCGAGAGAACUCUCGUUAAGGAACUCGGCAAAAUGACCCCGUAACUUCGGGAGAAGGGGUGCUCUUUAGGGUUCACGCUCUGAAGAGCCGCAGUGAAUAGGCCCAAGCGACUGUUUAUCAAAAACACAGGUCUCUGCUAAACCGUAAGGUGAUGUAUAGGGGCUGACGCCUGCCCGGUGCUGGAAGGUUAAGAGGAGUGGUUAGCUUCUGCGAAGCUACGAAUCGAAGCCCCAGUAAACGGCGGCCGUAACUAUAACGGUCCUAAGGUAGCGAAAUUCCUUGUCGGGUAAGUUCCGACCCGCACGAAAGGCGUAACGAUUUGGGCACUGUCUCAACGAGAGACUCGGUGAAAUCAUAGUACCUGUGAAGAUGCAGGUUACCCGCGACAGGACGGAAAGACCCCGUGGAGCUUUACUGUAGCCUGAUAUUGAAAUUCGGCACAGCUUGUACAGGAUAGGUAGGAGCCUUAGAAGCGUGAGCGCCAGCUUACGUGGAGGCGCUGGUGGGAUACUACCCUAGCUGUGUUGGAUUUCUAACCCGCGCCAUUGAUCAUGGCGGGAGACAGUGUCAGGCGGGCAGUUUGACUGGGGCGGUCGCCUCCUAAAGUGUAACGGAGGCGCUCAAAGGUUCCCUCAGAAUGGUUGGAAAUCAUUCAUAGAGUGUAAAGGCAUAAGGGAGCUUGACUGCGAGACCUACAAGUCGAGCAGGGUCGAAAGACGGACUUAGUGAUCCGGUGGUUCCGCAUGGAAGGGCCAUCGCUCAACGGAUAAAAGCUACCCCGGGGAUAACAGGCUUAUCUCCCCCAAGAGUUCACAUCGACGGGGAGGUUUGGCACCUCGAUGUCGGCUCAUCGCAUCCUGGGGCUGUAGUCGGUCCCAAGGGUUGGGCUGUUCGCCCAUUAAAGCGGUACGCGAGCUGGGUUCAGAACGUCGUGAGACAGUUCGGUCCCUAUCCGUCGUGGGCGUAGGAAAUUUGAGAGGAGCUGUCCUUAGUACGAGAGGACCGGGAUGGACAUACCUCUGGUGUACCAGUUGUCGUGCCAACGGCAUAGCUGGGUAGCUAUGUAUGGACGGGAUAAGUGCUGAAAGCAUCUAAGCAUGAAGCCCCCCUCAAGAUGAGAUUUCCCAACUUCGGUUAUAAGAUCCCUCAAAGAUGAUGAGGUUAAUAGGUUCGGGGUGGAAGCAUAGCGAUAUGUGGAGCUGACGAAUACUAAUCGAUCGAAGACUUAAUCAAAUU
This 2006-nucleotide ribosomal RNA is filed under the name Staphylococcus sp. HMSC078A12. RNAcentral describes it as "bacterial LSU rRNA". It matches the Rfam family "Bacterial large subunit ribosomal RNA", at positions 920 to 2925 of the family's 2925-position model. The record is from RNAcentral. Lineage: Bacteria; Bacillati; Bacillota; Bacilli; Caryophanales; Staphylococcaceae.